GAUGAACGCUGGCGGCGUGCCUAAUACAUGCAAGUCGAGCGAACAGACGAGGAUCUUGCUCCUCUGACGUUAGCGGCGGACGGGUGAGUAACACGUGGAUAACCUACCUAUAAGACUGGGAUAACUUCGGGAAACCGGAGCUAAUACCGGAUAAUAUAUUGAACCGCAUGGUUCAAUAGUGAAAGACGGUUUUGCUGUCACUUAUAGAUGGAUCCGCGCCGCAUUAGCUAGUUGGUAAGGUAACGGCUUACCAAGGCAACGAUGCGUAGCCGACCUGAGAGGGUGAUCGGCCACACUGGAACUGGGACACGGUCAAGACUCCUACGGGAGGCAGCAGUAGGGAAUCUUCCGCAAUGGGCGAAAGCCUGACGGAGCAACGCCGCGUGAGUGAUGAAGGUCUUCGGAUCGUAAAACUCUGUUAUUAGGGAAGAACAAAUGUGUAAGUAACUAUGCACGUCUUGACGGUACCUAAUCAGAAAGCCACGGCUAACUACGUG
RNAcentral lists this ribosomal RNA (497 nucleotides) under uncultured bacterium. Its description in RNAcentral is "partial 16S ribosomal RNA". It matches the Rfam family "Bacterial small subunit ribosomal RNA", at positions 28 to 507 of the family's 1533-position model. The record is from RNAcentral.